CCUACGGGGGGCAGCAGUGGGGAAUAUUGGACAAUGGGGGGAACCCUGAUCCAGCCAUGCCGCGUGUGUGAAGAAGGCCCUCGGGUUGUAAAGCACUUUCAGUGAGGAAGAACGCCUGGUGGUUAAUACCCAUCAGGAAAGACAUCACUCACAGAAGAAGCACCGGCUAACUCCGUGCCAGCAGCCGCGGUAAUACGGAGGGUGCGAGCGUUAAUCGGAAUUACUGGGCGUAAAGCGCGCGUAGGUGGCUUGAUAAGCCGGUUGUGAAAGCCCCGGGCUCAACCUGGGAACGGCAUCCGGAACUGUCUAGCUAGAGUGCAGGAGAGGAAGGUAGAAUUCCCGGUGUAGCGGUGAAAUGCGUAGAGAUCGGGAGGAAUACCAGUGGCGAAGGCGGCCUUCUGGACUGACACUGACACUGAGGUGCGAAAGCGUGGGUAGCAAACAGGAUUAGAUACCCUGGUAGUC
RNAcentral lists this ribosomal RNA (465 nucleotides) under Vreelandella stevensii. RNAcentral describes it as "partial 16S ribosomal RNA". It matches the Rfam family "Bacterial small subunit ribosomal RNA", at positions 338 to 795 of the family's 1533-position model. The record is from RNAcentral. Lineage: Bacteria; Pseudomonadati; Pseudomonadota; Gammaproteobacteria; Oceanospirillales; Halomonadaceae.